RNAcentral lists this ribosomal RNA (253 nucleotides) under uncultured bacterium. RNAcentral's name for it is "partial 16S ribosomal RNA". It matches the Rfam family "Bacterial small subunit ribosomal RNA", at positions 524 to 776 of the family's 1533-position model. The record is from RNAcentral.
UACAGAGGGGGCAAGCGUUAUUCGGAAUUAUUGGGCGUAAAGGGCGCGUAGGCGGCCUGACAAGUGGAAGGUGAAAUCCCUCGGCUUAACCGAGGAACUGCCCUCCAAACUGUUUGGCUUGAGUCCGGGAGAGGUGAGUGGAAUUCCCAGUGUAGCGGUGAAAUGCGUAGAUAUUGGGAGGAACACCAGUGGCGAAGGCGGCUCACUGGACCGGAACUGACGCUGAGACUCGAAAGCGUGGGGAGCAAACAGG